Molecule: transfer RNA, 68 nt
Filed under: Pedetes capensis (springhare)
Lineage: Eukaryota; Metazoa; Chordata; Mammalia; Rodentia; Pedetidae
Description: tRNA-Gly
Rfam family: tRNA
About the family: Transfer RNA (tRNA) molecules are approximately 80 nucleotides in length.
Source: RNAcentral
ACUUUCUUAGUACACAUAAGUAUAUUUGACUUCCAAUCAAAAGGCUCUGGUUAAUUCAGAAGAAAGUA